RNAcentral lists this long non-coding RNA (258 nucleotides) under Mustela putorius furo (domestic ferret). Its description in RNAcentral is "lncRNA (ENSMPUG00000027020.1)". The record is from RNAcentral. Lineage: Eukaryota; Metazoa; Chordata; Mammalia; Carnivora; Mustelidae.
CUCCUUCACAAGUAACACAAACAACAUAUUGCUGUUCUACGUAUCCACUAUCCAGGCAGCAUAUGGUUGUGUCUUGCUUCCUCAUCUGGUAAAAAUUAUUGGAAAAGUCCAAAUGGAGCAAAAAAAAGAUCUCUAACAACCAACAAGAUAAUAGACUUCAACCUAAUUUCAUCAAUAUUACAUGAAAUCAAAGCCCAGGUACUUGGUCUAUACGGUGUGAUGCUGGGGUGCUUUGGACGGCACAACCUGGUCCGUUAG